RNAcentral lists this ribosomal RNA (564 nucleotides) under Triticum aestivum (bread wheat). RNAcentral's name for it is "partial small subunit ribosomal RNA". Lineage: Eukaryota; Viridiplantae; Streptophyta; Magnoliopsida; Poales; Poaceae. The record is from RNAcentral.
AUGGACAAUUGCAUUGGUGCAAUAGAUGGGACACACAUACAAGUUGUGGUACCAGUUGCCACUGCUGCCCAGCAUAGGAAUAGACAUAAGGAGAAGAGUAAGAAUGUGAUGUGUGUGUGUGACUUUGAUAUGAGAUUCACAUUUGUCCUAGCUGGUUGGCCAGGUUCAAUGCAUGACAUGAGGGUCUUCAAUGAUGCCCGAUCCAGAUUUGGUGACAAGUUUCCAAAACCACCACCUAAUAAGUUCUAUCUUGUGGACUCAGGGUACCCAAAUAGACCAGGUUAUCUUGCACCAUACAAGGGUUUAACCUAUCAUUUCCAGGAGUACCGUGAUGGCACAAUGCCUAGAGGAAAAAAGGAACACUUCAAUUUCACCCAUUCUUCACUUAGAAAUAUCAUCGAGAGGUGUUUUGGAGUCCUGAAGAACAAGUGGAGGAUUUUGUUUCACUUGCCUAGUUAUCCACAACAGAAACAAAGCAAAAUCAUUAUGAAAACUAUGUACCAUUGUCUAUGCCAACGACUACAACAAAUGAUUCAACAAAUGAGAUGGACAGUGCUGCUAUGA